Molecule: ribosomal RNA, 270 nt
Filed under: uncultured Ambispora
Lineage: Eukaryota; Fungi; Glomeromycota; Glomeromycetes; Archaeosporales; Ambisporaceae
Description: partial small subunit ribosomal RNA
Rfam family: Eukaryotic small subunit ribosomal RNA
Source: RNAcentral
UAAAGUUGUUGCAGUUAAAAAGCUCGUAGUUGAAUUUUGGGUCUGGCCGGGCGGUCCACCUUCCGGUGAGCACUGUUCCGACGUCGGGCCUAUCCUUCUGGUGAGACGGCAUGCCCUUCACUGGGUGUGUCGGGGAACCAGGACCAUUACCUUGAAAAAAUUAGAGUGUUAAAAGCAUGCGUUUGCUCGAAUACAUUAGCAUGGAAUAAUGUAAUAGGACGCGUGGUAGUAUUUUGUUGGUUUCUAGGACCGCCGUAAUGAUUACUAGGG